RNAcentral lists this ribosomal RNA (468 nucleotides) under uncultured bacterium. RNAcentral's name for it is "partial 16S ribosomal RNA". It matches the Rfam family "Bacterial small subunit ribosomal RNA", at positions 28 to 507 of the family's 1533-position model. The record is from RNAcentral.
GACGAACGCUGGCGGCGUGCUUAACACAUGCAAGUCGAACGGAAAGGCCCUGCUUUUGUGGGGUGCUCGAGUGGCGAACGGGUGAGUAACACGUGAGUAACCUGCCCUUGGCUUUGGGAUAACUUCAGGAAACUGGGGCUAAUACCGGAUAGGAGCUCCUGCUGCAUGGUGGGGGUUGGAAAGUUUCGGCGGUUGGGGAUGGACUCGCGGCUUAUCAGCUUGUUGGUGGGGUAGUGGCUUACCAAGGCUUUGACGGGUAGCCGGCCUGAGAGGGUGACCGGCCACAUUGGGACUGAGAUACGGCCCAGACUCCUACGGGAGGCAGCAGUGGGGAAUAUUGCACAAUGGGCGGAAGCCUGAUGCAGCAACGCCGCGUGCGGGAUGACGGCCUUCGGGUUGUAAACCGCUUUCGCCUGUGACGAGGCGUGAGUGACGGUAAUGGGUAAAGAAGCACCGGCUAACUACGUG